This 411-nucleotide ribosomal RNA is filed under the name uncultured Gammaproteobacteria bacterium. Its description in RNAcentral is "bacterial SSU rRNA". It matches the Rfam family "Bacterial small subunit ribosomal RNA", at positions 9 to 418 of the family's 1533-position model. Lineage: Bacteria; Pseudomonadati; Pseudomonadota; Gammaproteobacteria. The record is from RNAcentral.
GAGUUUGAUCUUGGCUCAGAUUGAACGUUGGCGGCAGGCCUAAAACAUGCAAGUCGAACGGUAACAGCGGAAGCUUGCUUCCGGCUGACGAGUGGCGGACGGGUGAGUAACACGUAGGAAUCUACCUAGUAGUGGGGGACAACCCGGGGAAACCCGGGCUAAUACCGCAUACGCUCUACGGAGGAAAGCAGGGGAUCUUCGGACCUUGCGCUAUUGGAGGAGCCUGCGUCGGAUUAGCUAGUUGGUGGGGUAAAGGCCUACCAAGGCGACGAUCCGUAGCUGGUCUGAGAGGACGAUCAGCCACACUGGAACUGAGACACGGUCCAGACUCCUACGGGAGGCAGCAGUUAGGAAUCUUGGGCAAUGGGCGCAAGCCUGACCCAGCCAUGCCGCGUGUGUGAAGAAGGCCUU